This 254-nucleotide unclassified non-coding RNA is filed under the name uncultured Patescibacteria group bacterium. RNAcentral's name for it is "contains 16S-23S intergenic spacer region". It matches the Rfam family "Bacterial small subunit ribosomal RNA", at positions 524 to 776 of the family's 1533-position model. The record is from RNAcentral.
UACGGAGGAUCCAAGCGUUAUCCGGAAUUACUGGGCGUAAAGAGUUGCGUAGGCGGCAUUGUAAGCAGAUAGUGAAAUCGUGUGGCUCAACCAUGCUCACAUUAUUUGAACUGCAAAGCUAGAGGACAAGAGAGGUCACUGGAAUUCCCUGUGUAGGAGUGAAAUCCGUAGAUAUAGGGAGGAACACCGAUGGCGUAGGCAGGUGACUGGCUUGUUCCUGACGCUCAGGCACGAAAGCGUGGGUAGCAAACGGG